AUUGAACGCUGGCGGCAUGCCUUACACAUGCAAGUCGAACGCUAACGGGCCUUUUGCUGCCGAGGAGUGGGGAACGGGGGAGUAAUACACCGGAACAUGCCGCAUCCUGGGGGGGAACGAGGCGCAGGAUUGGCUAAUACCGCAUACGAUUUACUGAUGAAAGCAUGGGGCUGGAAGGCCAGGCUCGGACUGGGCGGGCGAUGGCCGUUGAGGUAGUAGGUUGGUUAAAGGCUUACCAAGCCACCGAUCUUUGGCUGGUCUGAGAGGAGGAAGGGCCACACUGUGACUGAGACACGGCCCAGCCGCCUACGGGAGGCCGCGGUGGGGAAUUUUGGACAAUGGGCGAAAGCGUGAUCCAGCCAUGCCGCGUGGCGGCUGAAGGCAUUCGGGUUGUAAACUGCUUAUCUUCGGACGGAAAAGCCUUAUUUUAAUCCAGGAGUGUCGUGACGGUACCGUAAAAAUAAGCGCCGGCUAACUACGUG
This 482-nucleotide ribosomal RNA is filed under the name uncultured bacterium. RNAcentral's name for it is "partial 16S ribosomal RNA". It matches the Rfam family "Bacterial small subunit ribosomal RNA", at positions 30 to 507 of the family's 1533-position model. The record is from RNAcentral.